GAGUAGGCUAUGAUGAUCAAAUCUACCUAUUUGCUGAAAUCUGUGAUUAAUACAUUUAACCAAUGGAUCCUUCUGAGCCUACU
Lycium barbarum (goji berry) is the source of this 83-nucleotide small nucleolar RNA. The record is from RefSeq and is a predicted model, not a curated record. NCBI's taxonomy places the organism in Eukaryota, Viridiplantae, Streptophyta, Magnoliopsida, Solanales, Solanaceae.